Molecule: ribosomal RNA, 902 nt
Filed under: uncultured crenarchaeote
Lineage: Archaea; Thermoproteati; Thermoproteota
Description: bacterial SSU rRNA
Rfam family: Archaeal small subunit ribosomal RNA
Source: RNAcentral
CCUUACUGCUAUCGGGGUGGGACUAAGACAUGCGAGUCGAGCGUCUCUAGCUAUGUUGAGACGCGGCAGACUGCUCAGUAACACGUGGCUAACCUACCCUCAGGACGAGGAUAAACCCGGGAAACUGGGGCUAAUACUCGAUAGGUGAGAAUGUCUGGAAUGAUUUCUCACUCAAAGGGCCUUGGGAACAUGCUUCCAAUGUCGCCUGGGGAUGGGGCCGCGUCCGAUCAGGUUGUUGGUGAGGUAAUGGCUCACCAAGCCUAUAACCGGUACGGGCCGUGAGAGCGGUAGCCCGGAGACGGGUACUGAGACAAGGACCCAGGCCCUACGGGGCGCAGCAGUCGCGAAAACUCCGCAAUGCACGAAAGUGUGACGGGGCUACCCCGAGUGCCAUCCGCUGAGGGUGGCUUUUCUUUGGUAUAACUAGCCGAGGGAAUAAGGAGAGGGCAAGACUGGUGUCAGCCGCCGCGGUAAUACCAGCUCUCCGAGUGGUAGGGAUGAUAUUGGGCUUAAAGCGUCCGUAGCCGGCUUAGCAAGUCUCCUGUUAAAUUCAGCGGCCUAAUCGUUGAGCCGCGGGAGAUACUACUAGGCUAGGAGGCGGGAGAGGUCGACGGUACUUCUGGGGUAGGGGUGAAAUCCUAUAAUCCCGGGAGGACCACCAGUGGCGAAGGCUGUCGACUAGAACGCGCUCGACGGUGAGGGACGAAAGCUGGGGAGCGAACCGGAUUAGAUACCCGGGUAGUCCCAGCCGUAAACGAUGCGGGCUAGGUGUUGGAAUGGCUACGUGCCAUUUCAGUGCCGCAGGGAAACGGUUAAGUGUGCCGCCUGGGAAGUACGGUCGCAAGGCUAAAACUUAAAGAAAUUGGCGGGGGAGCACCACAAGGGGUGGAACCUGCGGUUCA